AGCCUAGUGGACAUGGCAUCUGCCCGGUAAGCGGAACACUAUGGGUUCGAUUCCCAU
This 57-nucleotide transfer RNA is filed under the name Cordylochernes scorpioides. Its description in RNAcentral is "tRNA-Thr". It matches the Rfam family "tRNA", at positions 9 to 63 of the family's 71-position model. From Rfam's summary of the family: Transfer RNA (tRNA) molecules are approximately 80 nucleotides in length. Their secondary structure includes four short double-helical elements and three loops (D, anti-codon, and T loops). Further hydrogen bonds mediate the characteristic L-shaped molecular structure. tRNAs have two regions of fundamental functional importance: the anti-codon, which is responsible for specific mRNA codon recognition, and the 3' end, to which the tRNAs corresponding amino acid is attached (by aminoacyl-tRNA synthetases). tRNAs cope with the degeneracy of the genetic code in two manners: having more than one tRNA (with a specific anti-codon) for a particular amino acid; and 'wobble' base-pairing, i.e. permitting non-standard base-pairing at the 3rd anti-codon position. The record is from RNAcentral. Lineage: Eukaryota; Metazoa; Arthropoda; Arachnida; Pseudoscorpiones; Chernetidae.